ACUAGAAUGAACGGCUAAAUGAGGACCUAGCUGUCUCUUGCAUUUUACUAAUGAAACUGAUCUCUUAGUUCAAAAGCUAAGAUUUUACCACAAGACGAGAAGACCCUGUGGAGCUUAAAACCAAACUCACAACAAUGAGCCCCUGGUUUUCAGUUGGGGCAACUUCGGAGUACAAGAAAUCCUCCGACACAACCACCAAAUUAGAUUAACACAUCUAUUUCUAACCCACGACCCAGUAGUUUUUACCAAACUACCUGAUCAAUGAACCAAGUUACCCCAGGGAUAACAGCGCCAUCCCCCUCUAGAGUUCCUAUCGACAGGGGGGCUUACGACCUCGAUGUUGGAUCAGGACCACCCAAUAGUGCAACCGCUAUUGACG
This 379-nucleotide ribosomal RNA is filed under the name Acanthodactylus aureus. Its description in RNAcentral is "partial 16S ribosomal RNA". It matches the Rfam family "Archaeal large subunit ribosomal RNA", at positions 2063 to 2639 of the family's 2987-position model. Lineage: Eukaryota; Metazoa; Chordata; Lepidosauria; Squamata; Lacertidae. The record is from RNAcentral.